GCACACACGCACGCACACACACUCGCACACACGCAGAGGCACGGGAGGGAAAGAAGCCGAUGAAUAAUUUUGCUAUUUUUUAAAAUACUGGCCGCCAUCAUCAAGCAGCGAGCAGCAGCAGAAGCGUUGAAGGGAGAGGAGGCAUCGGGACAGGCCCCUCUUAGGAGAGGAUUUAUAUCUAGUUGGAAAAAAAAAGAAAGAAAAGAAAAAGAAGAAAAAGAAGAAAAAAAUUGUCAAGCCCCCGAACUGAAGGUUACGAGCGGCCCGUCAGCAGCCCACAUGUAACCGAACUGUCGUGUUUCAUGGCUUUUUGCCACUCCAGCUGUCAAUCAAAGCCCGGAAUGUCAAGGUAGUGAAUGAAUGAUGGUUGAUGAUGAUGAAGAGGAGGAAUCUUUCAGACCCGUUUUUUUCUUCCAGUAAAACUCCGCGAGGGGUUUCUGCUUCUUGAAUUUUUUCCUCCCCCCUCCCCCCUUUUUUAGCUUUGCCCCCGCGGUAUCUAUAAUACGAUCCUCUCUCUUUAAAGUAUUGUUCAAAGAAAGCAGUGAGAAAAAUCAAGAAAAAAAAAUGAAUAGUUUGCAAAAAUUGGACUUCCUCCCCCCCUUUCCUGGACCAGAAGAGACCAGCUUAACUCAGAGCACACUCCCUCCAAGCGGUGCGGACAAGGGGCCACCCCGAGAGUCUUUGGGGGCCGCGGCGGAAUCGGGAGGGAGGAAAACUCCAAGAUUAAAAGUAUCCUUAUUUGUUGCUGAGUUGCUCGUCGACAUUUAAGAGAAGGUGAGUAAAAAAGAAAAGAAGAUGAAAGAGAAAAGAAAAAGUUGGUCUCCAGAAUUUUAUUUCAAUCGACAGUUACGCGAAUUCAGUUUAGCCGGGACCGGGAGGUUUGAGAGUGCGGCGGGGUGGGGAGGGGAAAAAAACAAAAACGCUGCGGAGCGUUUUCGACUUUGCAAAGCUGUUGAUGUUGGUGGGUCCAAGUUCCCGGUGCAGCGCCGCUGGCUGAGAAAUUUGUACUCAGUUUUUACUCUUCUAAUUAUUCUUAAAUUCAAUUUAAGAAUUUAAGUUUAUCGUCGCCAAUAGGAUUAUUGUUGUUUUAAAUGUCUUGUUCAAUAAGUGCCAGUUACGUUUCUUUUUAAAAGAAAUUCCUCAGUGUCCUUGAUAAACCUUUUUUUGUAAAGAUCAACUUCAUGCGGAACCUCUGCCUUGCAGGGUUUAAACAUUCAACAUUGCUACCUUCUGUUUCUUUUUCUGUUUUUAUAGUGAUACUGUAAAGUGAGUUAGCAUCUCUAUAGCUUUCAUUUAGAAAAACUUAAGUCGCAUUUUUAGAAAAAUAUUCCUUCCCUUGCAGUGUGAGUAAAAACAACUCAGACAGAUUGAUGAUUUCUAUAUUUUCUUUUCUUUCUUUAUCUUCUUUUUCUUUUUUUCUUUUCUUUUCUUUUUUUUUCUUUUUUUUUGAGACGGAGUCUCGCUUUGUCGCCCAGGCUGGAGUGCAAUGGCGCGAUCUCGGCUCACUGCAACCUCCGCCUCCCGGGUUCAAGCGAUUCUCCUGCCUCAGCCUCUUGAGUAGCUGGGAUUACAGGGGCGCGCCACCACGCCCGGCUAAUUUUUUGUGUCUUUAAUAGAGACGGGGGUUUCACCAUAUUGGCCAGGCUGGUCUCGAACUCCUGACCUCCUGAUCCACCCGCCGCGGCCUCUCAAAGUGCUCGAAUUACAGGCGUGAGCCAUCGCACCCGGCCGAUUUCUAUGUUUUCAAACAAUUGUAAGCUAAUAAUGAGUUGAUUAUCUGGUGAUAAUCUUGGGUUUUACAAAAAAAGAAAAGUUUAAACUUUAUUUUCAUGUGUUUUUAUCAGAUGCAGAAGGCAUUUUUAACCUUAACGCCUUUCUCUGUCUCUCUCUUUCAUAUUCUUAACUUCUUUUGCAUUUUAUUGAAUACAUUAAAGCAAACAACAGGAACAAUAUGGUUAGGUGUAGGAGGGAGAGAGAAAUAUGACAUUUUAAGAUAUUGUCAAAAAGUCAUAUUUAACUUCAACGACUUUUAGUUAAAAAAGUGUGAGAGUGUUGAAAGUGCAUUCCUACUGGAGGAAAUCUAUGUCUUUUUAAAAUUUGCCAGUUGUCUCAGGGGAGAACCCAGAAUUUCUUUGAACGAAAGAGAUCUUACUGAUCUAGUUGCAUGUCACUUAUGAAACUGUUAGUUUAAAAUAGCAGUCCUAGUGUAGUGGAUUACACAUGAGGAGAUCAAGUUGGAGUCGAUUCAAGGUAUUGGUUCUUGGUCAGUCUGCUGAAUUCAAAACACUAUUACCUUUAAUCAGCAACUUGCGGGUGUUUUAUUAAUAGAGCUGAAAAAGGCUCAUCUAACAUAUAAGAAUUUCCUGGUUUCCCUCAUCCCCAAUUUUCCAGUCCAAUAGAAGCGAUUCCAAAGGAGUAGGGUACCCGCACUUACUGAUUUCCAUCCUGGUGGCAUUUUGCUAAUGCCCCAUUGUCAGCGUUGGCACUCCCACCCAGGCUUCCAGGCUCAUCUGCUCUCCCAUAUUUGGGGUGAAAGGAAAGUAGGUGGGGCAGGCCCGGGAGACAGGCACGAAAUGGGGGUCGCAGGAGGUGGCACACACCUCCGUCAACAGUCAGCUCCUUCUGCCCAGGCUGGAAAUGGUUUUAACAGGCGGUAAAAUUUCAUCUUGCGGUGUCAAAUUGGGGUCAUUUUGGGGUUAGAGUUCUCAGUGUCCGAGAGGAGCUGUCCAGCUGCGUGGGGACUCAUUAACUGCAAAAGAUCUGUUUCAGUAAAAACAAUUCAAAGACAAUCAGAAGGCUAAAGACCCUCUACAAAUCGCAUUUUACAAGUGCCCCAGAACAAAUAUGGAUGGUGAAACCUAUUUCUUCAGAAUCCCAAAUCAGCUACUUAGCUCUGGAGUGGGGGUGGGGGUACUGCAUAAAAAAGAGGUGAAAAGGAGGGGACCAAGCGGGUGGGGACCAGUGGAAGGGGGAAUCGGGCCUCUCAAAUUUAAGAGUCUGUUUUUAAUCACCUCUUUCUUAUUGAAGCAGCCCCAAGAGUUCUGAAAACUGCUACUUUUCUAUUUUUCAUUUUCUUUUUUUGAGCCAACAUGGAAUGCUAUUAUAGGUAACAUUUAAGAUUUAAAAGGAAUAAUUGAAUUCCACUAUAGUCCCUUAAUUUGAAGGGCAUUGGCUUUAUGGGGAGUGUUUAAUUUGAACCAAGAAUUUAUGAACCCAGACUCUAGGUGAAUUUGCCCACACUCCUUAAGGAGCUUGUGUAGCUGUUUCUUUUUCUUUUCCUUGAAAGUUAUAGCUUCUUAGCACAGAUAACUUCAAAUUCCUCAGAACUGAGAAGUCCAAAGUGUUAAUCUGUGUAUUAAAAUCGCCAGGUUUAAAUCCUUUUUGUCUUCUUACAACAGUUAGAACAAUUGACGCCUUGCUAGAGAAGCAAAUAAGUCCAACCUUAAUCUUAUCUGUAACUUUAUUUAAUGUUUUGAUUUGGAAUAUUUUGGAUUAAGCAUAUCUUUAAAAACUCUGUAAGGUUAAUUUUUAUUCCGGGAGGGAAGUUCUCUUUACUGAUUUUGAAAAAAGACAUGAAUUAUUACUUUGAUUUUCAAAAAUUCCUUCAGGUAAAAGGAAAAUUCAGGUUUAAAAUGAGAAGCUAGAUAUGUGAAAUGCCAGAGAUUUUAGGAUAAAACCAAGUCAAUACUUAAAAGUAAAGUAUCAUUUGAAAGAAAUUUUAUUUCUUGCAUUACUGAACUGAGCAAGUAACAGUGAUCAAAAAUAUGUUAUUCUCUCUCCAUCUCUCUCUCUCUCUGGACUCCACUUCUGUCACUAGGUCUUCUCUUUCCAUCCCCAGCACUUUUCUUUGGGUUCUGAAUGACACAGUGAUUUUUUUUUUUUGUAGUCUAGUUAUUUUCUCCAAGCGUCUCAGAGUAUUUCUAAAUUGUUAUUCAAGGAGUUUGAUUUCAGCCCUGCAGAAACAGCCCUGAGCCCAGCAUCGCUGGGACAAAGGCAGAAGGGGCUAUCUUCUGUUCAAGACCUGCUGGCUGACAGUUGGAAUUUUUGAUAUAUAUUUUAUUUGGCGUUUCCAAUAACGUGUUUGUCUUUCCCUCUCCACCCCUUGCAGCCAUCUAUUACUUUUAAAACAUCCCUUCUCCAUAAACAUCGGCUCAUCCUUGUGAACUAUUCUUGACCUUCCCAGCAGUGUAACCAGCAGCUCUGAAAGUUGGCCUAGAAAUAAUUCCACUGGCUUCCUUACCUGUUAACUUUACUCACUCUUCCUAGCUGGGAUCAACAGAAGGAAGGGGACUUUUUUGUUUGCUUUUGUUGUUGUUGGUGGUGGUGGUGGUGGUGGUGGUGGUUUUUGGUUCUUUGGUCCUUUUCCCACUUAAACUUUCUAUAAUGAUUUAUUCUCCGCCUCCUCCCAUUAAUAACGUUUAAGCACCCCACACUUUAUUUUUUAAAUAAAAUGGAGUAAAAUUAUUAUACUUUUUUCCUUUAUGCCCCCUUUUCUUUUAUUUCUCCCAAUUUUAGGGGCUUCACCAUCUCAUAGAAAGGACUUCAAUAAAUAGCCCUCUAGCGCUAUCUGGCGGGGCUCCAAACACGACGUGCGCUUGCUCUCACUGUUUCUUCCUCCUUCCCGCGCUCUCUUCUUUCCUCUCUUUCUUCCUCUCUCCUGCUUUUUCUCUCGUCUCUUCCGCUCGAUUGUUUUCCUCUUUUUUUCUGUCCUCCUGCGGCCUCUUGUCUAGUUCCUACCCCUACUUCAGCGCAGGCGGCUUGGAAAGCCCCGGCCAGAGGCUAGUAACUCUCGCAAGUGGGAGAUGCUCUGGCGACGGAUCUCUCUUUUCUGAUCCCUCCUCCCCCUUACCCAGCGCGGAUCACACACAUCCUUUGCCUUUGAUUAGCAUCUUAAAGUUGCUUAGCGUGCCGCUUAAGUCCCAGCGUCUCAGCUGGCGGUGGUUUGGAGAGGCUUAAAACUGCAUUCAUGAAGUUUGGAGGAAAGAAAUCAGACACUGGAAUUCAGGGCUAGGAGCCCAGCUCAGUUUUAGGUCAGAAGGCCGAGUCUCAGUGCGAGAUUGAGGAAGGGUCGGGGCUUAACGGGGGAGGUGGGGGUGGCGGGGGGGGGAACAGCACGGCGCGGCGCCUAGCCUGCGAGAUGGAGUCGGAGUGGGGGUGCGAGCGGUCCUCCACCGCCUCUGCCCGAUCCGUACCUCACAAUGGACUGCUCGAGUUUGUAUCUAGGCCUGUCCAGGAUUGUUUACUCCUUCAAUUAAUCAGCUUUAUCUCUUUUCCCCCUCCCCCCACCUCCACCAAAUCUGGAGAGGAGUGGGAAAGAACUGGAAAACUCACAGGGCAAAGAGAGAAAGCCAACAGUCAUAGUGCGGGAGGAGGCACGCCUGGGAUGCAAUACCCAACAGUCUCCUCCCUGCUUUCCUGCAAUUUGCAGGUCAUUGUCUUUCUUAUUUGUAGCUUUUUUUUUUUUUCUUCAGUAGCCGGUAAACAAUCGAACGCCGGGUAGGGAGGUCAGAGGGGAUGGGGCUGUGGGAGAGAUUCUACUCAGGCUAGGUGCUUUAGAUUUGGACCUGGCUGUGUCCCUACUUUAUUAAAAUUCUCAUGUGGCGCGCGCUGUCUUCUCUCUUCUCUCUCUCUCUCUCUCACACACACACGCACAUACACACACAGCCCGAGAGAAAUUUCCAAUCUUUGAGCAAAUCUCUUCCAUCUAGUCCUUGAAACAGAGGAAAGGACAUGGGACCUGAAGGAGAGUUAUGAUUGAAUUUUCUAAAAUUUAGUUUUGACAUUGCAAAGUAAAAGUGAGGACCGUAUUCCCAAUACAGACCCAGAGGGUGGUUAUUUCAGGUGAGGGGACCUCAGCCUGUGACGUCUAUGAUCAACCAGACAAAGACCCCUUCCUAAAUCUGAAGUCCCACCCCCACCCGUGGCAAACAUGGAAUACAAGGGAGGGGAAGGAUGGCACAAUAGUGGGUUCUGUUUUCCAAGAACUGCCCCCCACCUCCAUUGCAGAAGGAAAAAAAAGCACGGUUCGGGUGUAAUUAAUUGGGGACUGUUAUUAGGUCAUCAUUAGCCAAGGUACAAAUAAUAGCAGCACAUUUUUACUUAAAAUUGACCAGCCCCAGAGUGAUAGAUCGAUUUGGAGUAUAAAAAGAUGUAUCAAAACAUCAAUGUCGAUUAUUUGAAAUAUUGUAGUCGAAUUUUUUUUAUUGCUUCAUCGGUUAAGUGUCUGAAAAUGCAGUGUUCAAACAUAUAUUUAUGUUGUCAAUACUGUCAGAACUGUCAGUUUUACUAUACUGGAUUUGUACUAUAUUUCAAAUAUGCUAAUUUACAUAAAAUGCCCACCCUAGGAUUCCCCCCCUACACCCACCCCAUCUCUGGAAAAUCCGUGUCAGUUUCUUCAAAGGAUUCAGCAAUCUUUGCCUAAGCUAAAGUGUGCACUACCUCUUUUACUCAAUUUUCCACAUCGGAUUACAUGUCUUUUUCACCAUCUCUAACUUUCAAAGAGAUCCUUCUUCCUUUCUCCCCAAUUCUGCCUACUCUAACCUCUUCUUCAAAAUAGUACUGAGGCACUUGGAAAGCUUCGAAUUUAAAUAUCCACAUCCCAGCUCCAAAUAUACCAUUGGAGUAAAAAAACGGAAAAACUGGACUUGAGUGUACUUGGCCGCACUCGGGUAAACCAGGCUUCACCAGGUAGACGUUCUCAUACCGUAAGGGUCCAUCAUCAAAUUACCUGGCAGAUUGAAAUCUUCCAGGGAAAAUGAAUUUGGAAAUGUAAACACCUUUUCUUUCUUUUUACUUAAAAGCCUCGAUGGUAGAAAAAGAAAUAAUACUUAUAAAUGAUCGGCACGUUUUAACUUUAAAAGCUUUUGAACUCAAGUGAAAGACACACGUUGGAAACAGAAUUGAUAGUUUUAAUUCUACCCAUUUUCACCUGGCACAUCAGAUCAGUGGCAAUCAUUUAUUUUAUGGGGUGUGGAGGGGAAAGGGAUAGAAAGCGGAUAGAAAGCUAGAAUCCACUGAAGUCCCUGUCCUAAAAAUCUCAGAGAAAUUAAAGACUUAUUGAAACACAAACAUUCCAUCGCUCCAUACUCUCCGUCCAGAUGAAUUGAAACUUAUAAAUCCACGCUCUCCCCAAUUUUAUGUUUUUUAUUUAUUUUUUUUCAGGGUUUGAUAGGAAAGAUACCCAAGUCUGAUAGGGAAGACAGGGCCACUUCUGGACUAGCUGUGAGGAUGUGUUUUCAUUUCCAUAACACUGAAGCACUUUCUGUAAACCUUUUGAUGUACUUAAAUAAGUCUAUUUGGACAUUUAAAGAAGCUACACAUACAAACAUAGCUUGGCUUUUUGCCGUCAAUCCCAGCAUUAAAAAAACAUUCAUAAUCUAACUGAGAAGCUCUUUCAUACCCAUCCUUCUUUCAAAUAAGUAAAUAAAUAAAGAAAUAGAAGUGCAAACCAAAGAAAGUUUCCAGCGUGCAUCUGUACGUCUUCGUGUGCGAGUUUAUAAACAACUUCCAGUCGGUACUUGGGUGUUACCUCCCUCCUGCCACACACCCCAAGGCAGAGGCAUCGAGGGAUCGCCCCCAGAGAGCUGUGUUUACUUAGCUUGUUUUAAAAAAAAUCUCGCCGCCAUGUAUGACAAGUGUUACUGCAAGAAAUUCAUCAGCCUUCUACAGAUACUUCCAGUUUUGCUGUAAUGAUCUGCAGAAGAGAACUGCCAUCACUUUCUCACAUCCCAAGGUGUUGCAGGAACUCAGAGAGAGGGGAGAGUGGCUGAAACGCUUAAUUACCGGAGGCGAAGGAGGGGCGCGCGGGGGACCGAAGGAGAGGGGAGUGAAGAAGGAAGGUCCUUUACCAGGCUUGUACCUGGAGAAAGCUUUGAAUCGCUUCUCUGCUAUAUUUGGAAAAGGUAUGCUUGCUUUUUAAAAAAAUGCCUUUAGGGCAAAGUGAUACCCUUGUGUAAUAAUUAACUCAGACAAUAAAAAUAAUUGGA
RNAcentral lists this long non-coding RNA (7985 nucleotides) under Homo sapiens (human). RNAcentral's name for it is "non-protein coding lnc-C15orf41-18:5". The record is from RNAcentral. Lineage: Eukaryota; Metazoa; Chordata; Mammalia; Primates; Hominidae.